AUGGGAGAGCUGGCCAUGAGGGCAUGAGAGCAAAUCUGACCCUACCAGCUGCAGUACUCAGGAGAGCAGGCCCUGCACACUGUAGGAGUUGCACGUGAGCCUGUCCCAGGAAUAGGAAUAUGGGAAAUCUUGCCCAACCACUCAUGUCCUGCGUGGUGAGGUGACUGUGUGGUGGCUUGGACAAGGGAGAGAUACCCUCUUCCUCCAGUUUCUUCUCAACACCUGUGGCAUAUAGGAGACCUGGCACUGGGGUCAUGGGACCAGGAAAGCUGGUCCUGCCUCUCACCAACUACAGCACUCUGGAGAGCAGCUGCAUCUCACUUGGGUGCAGAGUAGAGCUGACCCUGGUGUCAGGGAUGCUGGCAAGACAGCUCUAAAGGUGGUAAAGUUGACCUGAGUGAGUCACAAGAGCAGGAGAACUGUCCCUUACCCUUCCUGAGGAGCAUAAUCAAGAUGACUGUGGAUGAAGGGGUUUCAGACAGAAUCUGUAAGACGGUGCAGGCAAGCUUAUGUGAAAUAUUCAUUUCAAGCAAUAGCUCAAAAACUGGAGGAUCCAAGCUCUCUACAUAUUGUUCAGGCCACAUUGUCAGAGGUUGGAUUUACAGGGAUUUACAUACUCAGAUAGAGGAUAGCACUUGGGACACUUAUUGAAAGACAAUAACUGGAUCUAUACCCGGGGAAGAGCUAAGAUCAUGCUGAGAUAUAUGGCAUAUGCUGGAGACCAUGUGGGUGUCUGAAAUUCAUACUGUCACCAGAAACCAUGUAGAAGUUCAUGAUCAUGGUCCUGCUGACUGUAAAAGGCAAAGAAGCCACUUUGUAUUAAUGACUACAGAAUCACAAUUGACAAAAAAGGACUUAGGAUACCUCUGUGCCAACCCUUAUGUUGAUCCUAAAAAAGUAAGAGCCUAGAGAAAAAAAACUAUUGAAGGGGAAUCCUAAAAGUUGUGAUGAGGAUACUAAAGUGUAGUUCUCCACAGCUGAUGGAUUCUGAAGAGAUGCAGGUUGUAAUGCAAAUGGGAAUCCCAAUGCAGCAUGUACUAAGAAAACUCUAGUAACUGCUCUAAGACACAUUUCCUGGUCUACACUGUCACUGGAACAUUGAAAUGGAAAACUGAUCAGCACAUACUAGUUCAUUAAAAUUAUCAUGGAAAGGACCCCAAAGAGAGAAAUGUGUGACAGGCAACAUUCUCAAGGCAUUUUGGAGCGUGCAUCAACUCAACUCACUUCAUGAAAAAUAAGAGAAGAUGGAAUCCUGCUUUUCCUUUCAGGGUAAAUAAUAGUCUCCAUGAAAUAAAAAAAAUCUCAAUGAAGAACUCCAGACUGAACAGUGGGCAGAAUGAAGUCCACUGAUUGGCCAUUAUGAUGAAUUUAAGUGUCCAGCCACCCAUCCCAUGAAAGCCAAUCAAACAGGUGAAGAUAAAUAAACAGCUGUUCCAGUU
Molecule: long non-coding RNA, 1439 nt
Filed under: Mus pahari (shrew mouse)
Lineage: Eukaryota; Metazoa; Chordata; Mammalia; Rodentia; Muridae
Description: lncRNA (MGP_PahariEiJ_G0004704.1)
Source: RNAcentral